Molecule: non-coding RNA, 93 nt
Submitted as: unclassified sequences
Source: Rfam
UAUCAGUGUUUGCUCCCGCUAACCAAGACCUAUGGGAGGAUAAAUUACGUCUUUUUACCUGCAAGUGAGGGAUUUGCAGGAAUAAGUUUCGCA